Long non-coding RNA from Homo sapiens (human), 1200 nucleotides. Ensembl annotates it as long intergenic non-protein coding RNA 924. NCBI's taxonomy places the organism in Eukaryota, Metazoa, Chordata, Mammalia, Primates, Hominidae. The record is from Ensembl.
GGAAACUGCACCAUGGGUUCACCCAAGAAACAGACCAGAGGCAACACAUUCUAUCACUAAAACGUGUUCUCAGUUACACUUCCCUUCCAAAGGUAUCUCUGUUCAAGCCAACACCCGCUAGCUUAUGCUGAGUCUUUUUUUCCUGAAGAUACUCCUAAAGAAUACUCCAUGAUCUCAUCAGUAACACCAGCCCAUGUGACCGUAACUCUCACUCAACGAGGAGAAAAUAUACAAAGAGAAGAUGAAGAGACAACCAAACAGGAUUAUUUGUGCCCAUGAGGGAAACACGAAGGAUUGUCAGUAUUCAUUUGCUAUCAGAACUGCCUUUGAACUUCAGGGAAGCCGCCAUCUUGUUUUAGUUCACUCCUCUAAAGCACAGUGUCUGCAACAUGAAACACUAGUAAGACACAGUUAUCCAGAAAGAGCCCUAGAGAUGGAUAAGGAACCUGUUGGAAUGCUCUGAUAUUAAGAAAAAAAAAAUUAAAUUCAAAACCAAAAACAAGUCACAAGAUGUAGACAGAGGGCUGACACAAGACUGUUGUGGCCACUGGUGAGCAGUGAGAAAGAUGUCUCCGUCAAUGACUUCUUCCCAAGCCGGCUGAUGGGUAGCACAGGAAGGCUGUGACCUGUCUCGGAAGCAGUCUAGCCCAGCACAAAAAUCACAGGCUUUGAAGCCAAAAGGGAAUAUUUGUUUCUGAUGCUUGACCCUCUCCAAUUUGUUACAGUGUCCACAAGAAGUUUUUUCCUGGAAGUCUUUUUUUCAGAGAAAUCUAUGUACCACGGCUGUGUUCAAACAUGAUACAGAGACCCCAAAUGCCACUUGCUUGCUGUCUUCCUGGGAACAGGAUGAGGAUGUAAUCUGAGCUUUUUAGGGUCUAUCUCUACAUUGCAACAUCAUAACACUGAAGUGUAGAUUUAUAGCUGCUUUAUGUAUAUUUUCUUACUCCCAAAGCCCCCCUUUUUACAGAUACAUACACAACAUGUCAUGUAGAAAAAUAUAAAUUGUUGACCGUACAGGCACUUUCUUCCUUUUUAAACCUUUCCAAAGGUCUUUUUGUUAAAUACACCCAGAUGCCGUUUGACAGAUGAGGGGCUAAUUGCUCUGUGAAUUACCUCUAUCGAUUCCUGUUUCAUGUUGAGCCAAACAAACAAAAGAUAUUAAUGCUUUGAAAAAAAUGAAUGAUGACCUUUCUCUGCAAA